Cornus florida is the source of this 3052-nucleotide long non-coding RNA. RefSeq lists it as uncharacterized. Lineage: Eukaryota; Viridiplantae; Streptophyta; Magnoliopsida; Cornales; Cornaceae. The transcript has 5 exons. The record is from RefSeq and is a predicted model, not a curated record.
AAGAGAACUUAAGGGUCAAAACUUUUCUCAAACUCCUUUAGCAAACAAAUGCGCCAAGUAUGGAAAGAGAGAGACCCGAAUCUCCCCAUCGAUAGGUUUCUUUGGAUGAAUCGUAUAUUUAACCAGUCGAUCAUAAUAGCAAUUUGAGGAAAGAAGGUUUGAUUUCCUAAACGUGGUCUCGUCUCAGAUUGGACUCCCGACAGUACCCGCAAGCGACCAGCGAGCAGAUUAGGGUUUUCAACCAGCGACCAUAAAUUGAAGCGAGCGACCAUGGACGACGGAAAAAAUAAGAGUAGCUUUGUAUUUUCAGAAAGCAGCAAUUCAUUUCAUUGACGCCAGUGCAGCCGUUACAGCCAGUACUUGUGUUCUGCCAAAGGUGUAGAAGAAUCAGAAUUUCUAUGAUUCUAGUCUACAACAAAGGAUCUUAGAAGGUGGUUGAAGCAUUGAUUUCAAAACCUUUUCUCUCCACUGAUUCAAGGAACUUACGUAUGCAAUUAGGAGGAUUGAGAUUCAAAGAAUGUAAAGGAUUGAUUAUCACCAGUUCAUUAGGAGUAGAAGAAUUAGAAUUUUUAUGAUUCCAGUCUACAAUAAAGGUCAAAUACUAUGCUUCUUCAUUUUUAUUAUCACCAUGACAAUUCAUUAUAUGUUUAAAAAGUUGAUUGUUUUAGGGGGUCAAGUGCCUUAAGUAGCUAUUUUAUUUUUAUUAUUGUGCAUAAAUGGAGGUCGGGAAAUUGUUGCGGAUGGAGUUUGGUUUUCAUUCAUCGCAUAUUACGGUGUAUAAGGGGUUACGUGCCUUAAGUGGCCAUUUUUUUUUAUUAUAAUUGUGCAUAAAUGAAGGUGGGAAAAAUAUUGCGAAUGGAGUUUGGUUGCCUUUUGUACUCUAAACAAAUAUUCAUAUACAUAAUCUAGCUUAAGACAUAUUUUGUUUAAUAAAAUCGAACUUGUAGAAGCCCAAAAAGCCUUAAAAUAGUUUUGACAUUGUGUAAAAAUGGAAGCCAUUAUAUAAAUAUAAUGUAGCCUGCCAUACCCUAAUGUGUCACAGUCCAGCUAAUUGUAGAUGAGCUUUUCUGAACAGUAUAACAACUUUGUCAAUAUCUAUACUCAUGUGACAGUUUGAAUAGGGCUUUGUGGUUCUUUUGUUCUUUUUAAUUUUUUCCUUUUCUUUUAGGAAUAAUCCUUGAUUUCAUCUUAAGUCACUGGAAUGGGAUUGAAUGAAUCAAAGAUAGUUUGCGCUGUGAAAGUUGAGUAAAUAUAUAUAUGUAAUUUAGUUUCUGUGCUAUUGUGGUUUGCUUACACUAUUUGGUGAGGGUUCCAGAGGAUGGUAUAAUCAUGGAAGCUUGCAGUGGGAUCAAACCAUAGACGGAUAAUCUAUUUUUUGUCCAGUGUAUCAAUUGCGUACACAUUUGUUUGGACUAAGUAUGCUUUUAUCUCUUUGACAUAUAGGAAUUCUAGUUCAACCCAAUUUUCUGGAGUUUAGGUUAUGAACGAUUUGAUUUGCCCGAAAAAAAAAAAAAGUAUAUAUAUUCUUAUAAUUCUUCUUAACUAGUGGUGGAAUCGAACUAGUUAUAUAAAAUUACAAAAAAAAAAAAAAAAAAAAAAAAAAAUUAAUAAUAUAUUAUUAUUAUUAUUAUGAACAUGUGAUAUAUAUAUAUUUUUUUUACCUUGAAAAUUGUUGCAACUCUUGUGGAGUCAUUGCCGGGGAGCUUCAUACUCAUGCUGAAGGAACCAGAGCCAUAACUUGACUUUGAAAUAAAUUUAGCUCCUGUUUAUUUGUGUAAAUCAUCAACUAGUAUAUAUAAUUAAUUAGCCAGAAAAUGACAUAAGAAGAAAAAGACUUAGAUAAACCUUUUUGAGAGCUUUGAUAACUAAGGGCUGUUUCUAUACCACACUGUAUUAGCCUAUUGCUUAAUGGUAUGUGUUAAUGAAAGAGUUAAAUGUGAUUUUAUUUAAUUAAUACAAUCAAUCACCACACAUCGGUGUUUUGUUCCCUAACAUUCAAAGAGGGCUAACCCUUAAGAAAAUACUAAAAAUAUUACUGGAAGUACAUUACAAAGACAAUGGAUAAUGUAUAAAUUAAAGGAAUAAAGUAUGGGAGAGAAAGGUAUUCAAGAUUCCUUUAAGACUAUUUUGUUAAAAAAAUUAUAUUAUCUAAUUAGUAUAUAUUUAAUAGAAAGUGAUAGUUUCAUGAAGGGACAGGUUUUUUUCAAAAUCAAUGGAUCAUAUGCUUAUUUUUGGACUGUUGUGCUAUGUGAUUCUCUGUUGAAAACACAAUCUAAUGAUGGCAGGAUUUGCAGCUGAAAGCAAAUCAACACAAUCUAAUGUACUUGAUUUCUUGAGGGUUUUUUUUGCAUGUGGUUAGUGUUUUUAGACUACAUAGACCAUUAUCAACCUAGUUAGGUGAAGCUUGAUUAUUUGUCUUGUGUGUAAUUUAUAGUAAAAGAAAACAAAGAAUAUAUUAUUAAUACACAACUUGUACAUGGAGUGUAAUUAGUCAGGCGAUUCAAAAAUGUCAUGGACACCUGAUCACUGAGUGUAAUACGAUCCUAUAUUUAUGGUUCGAGUCGGCUAGAAUAUAUAUUCUCUUUAUCUCAUGAAUAUAAAGAGAUUAUGAUAUUGUAUGUUAUCAUACAUCCUUGUAAAAAUCUAGUAUUCAAUUAAGGAAAAUUAUCUGCUUGAAAUAUUUUUGGCAGAUCUGAGGAAGAAAUUCUUAACAAAAUGUUUGUGUUUGAUUCAUAAAUGAUAAUCUUGUUCUUUCCCUUUUUUAUUAGCAUUCUGAAUUUGAGACUUGUGUGAUGCAGCUACUUCUUUGGAUUUUGUACAGUAGAUUUUGCAGCUAGUUCCUUGGAUUUUGUACAGUGAGGUGGUUUUUUGACAAGUGCAGAUUGAAACUCAAGUGCUAGAAGAUUUAUCAAUUUUUCAACAGAAGUGUUAGGAAAUUGAUGAUUUUCUUCACAAAUGGAUUUACUUCCUCUUUUGGAACUUUGAUAAAUGUUGAAUUGUUUUGGCACAUUGAUAAAUGAUGAAUUAUAAAAAUGUUUUAACUUUUUUGAUA